AGCACCUAAAAGCGUUUUCUUGCCAGCCCGUUAACUGCUCUUGAAAAUCGUAGAUGUGUGCCAGAGCAAGCUUCCCAACAGCAAGUGACAAGAGUUCUAAUGACUCUUGUCCGUUUACGUUGUGAAUAAGU
Drosophila ananassae is the source of this 131-nucleotide non-coding RNA. The record is from Rfam. NCBI's taxonomy places the organism in Eukaryota, Metazoa, Arthropoda, Insecta, Diptera, Drosophilidae.